This 253-nucleotide ribosomal RNA is filed under the name uncultured bacterium. Its description in RNAcentral is "partial 16S ribosomal RNA". It matches the Rfam family "Bacterial small subunit ribosomal RNA", at positions 524 to 776 of the family's 1533-position model. The record is from RNAcentral.
UACGUAGGUGGCAAGCGUUGUCCGGAAUUAUUGGGCGUAAAGAGCGUGUAGGCGGCCCGAUUAGUCUGCUGUGAAAGUCCAGGGCUCAACCCUGGAAUGCCGGUGGAUACUGUCGGGCUAGAGUCCGGAAGGGGCGAGUGGAAUUCCUGGUGUAGCGGUGAAAUGCGCAGAUAUCAGGAGGAACACCAAUGGCGAAGGCAGCUCGCUGGGACGUGACUGACGCUGAGACGCGAAAGCGUGGGGAGCAAACAGG